AUACGUAGGGGGCGAGCGUUGUCCGGAAUGAUUGGGCGUAAAGGGCGCGUAGGCGGCCCGGUAAGUCUGGAGUGAAAGUCCUGUUUUUAAGAUGGGAAUUGCUUUGGAUACUGUCGGGCUUGAGUGCAGGAGAGGUAAGUGGAAUUCCCAGUGUAGCGGUGAAAUGCGUAGAGAUUGGGAGGAACUCCAGUGGCGAAGGCGACUUACUGGACUGUAACUGACGCUGAGGCGCGAAAGUGUGGGGAGCAAACAGGAUUAGAUACCCUGGUAGUCCACACCGUAAACGAUGAAUGCUAGGUGUAGGGGGUAUCGACCCCUUCUGUGCCGCAGUCAACACAAUAAGCAUUCCGCCUGGGGAGUACGGCCGCAAGGUUGAAACUCAAAGGAAUUGACGGGG
RNAcentral lists this ribosomal RNA (397 nucleotides) under uncultured bacterium. Its description in RNAcentral is "partial 16S ribosomal RNA". It matches the Rfam family "Bacterial small subunit ribosomal RNA", at positions 523 to 918 of the family's 1533-position model. The record is from RNAcentral.